UACAGAGGUCCCAAGCGUUGUUCGGAUUCAUUGGGCGUAAAGGGUGCGUAGGUGGCGCCGUAAGUGGGGUGUGAAAUUUCGGAGCUUAACUCCGAAACUGCAUUCCAUACUGCGGUGCUUGAGGACUGGAGAGGAGACUGGAAUUCAUGGUGUAGCAGUGAAAUGCGUAGAUAUCGAGAGGAACACCUGCGGCGAAGGCGGGUAGCUGGGCCGACACUGACGCUGAGGCGCGAAAGCCAGGGGAGCGAACGGG
Molecule: ribosomal RNA, 253 nt
Filed under: uncultured bacterium
Lineage: Bacteria
Description: partial 16S ribosomal RNA
Rfam family: Bacterial small subunit ribosomal RNA
Source: RNAcentral